This 596-nucleotide long non-coding RNA is filed under the name Olea europaea subsp. europaea. Lineage: Eukaryota; Viridiplantae; Streptophyta; Magnoliopsida; Lamiales; Oleaceae. The record is from RNAcentral.
ACAAAUUAUUACCACUUGAGUUAGCUUUCCAUUGGUUCAAAUAUCAGGUUCAUUGGAUCUAUAUAACUCCAGAUAUGACAAAAACAAUAAGUGCUGCUUCACAGGUAAAGCUGUAUCCGGCAGGUAACAAGCUGGACUUUGCACGGUAAUUUUGGCUGCUUUGUGAUACGAAUUUGACUUCUUCCAAAACAUGAAAGUUGUAGAAACGUGCCUUGUAUUUCCAGCCCAACUUGAAUCACCUCGAUCCAAUGUCUGAAGCUCAAGUUAUGAUUAUUUUACCAACAGCUGCUUCUUGCUUGAGGCAGUCACUAUUUUUGACUUUUCAACAUUAUUUUCCUCCACUUGCUCCACUUGUUCUAAUUUGAAAAUACAAGUGAAAUACAUCAAAUAGAUACUCUUUCAAAUGUAUAAUACUCAUGCCACCAUGUAUGUAAAUACGUAUUUCAAUUAAUUGCAUUUUUAACCUUGUAUUUAUGGAAAUUGAAUUUACGGCAUGAGAAUUGGAAUUAGAGACUAACAUUAGCAUUUUUAAACAAAGUGAAUGUAAAAUGCCUUCUAAAUGAUAUAUCUUUGAAGCACUUUUAGACACUAAUCAG